Molecule: ribosomal RNA, 574 nt
Filed under: Curvularia sp. 6-12p
Lineage: Eukaryota; Fungi; Ascomycota; Dothideomycetes; Pleosporales; Pleosporaceae
Description: eukaryotic LSU rRNA
Rfam family: 5.8S ribosomal RNA (bases 180-333)
Source: RNAcentral
UGUAUGCGGCUGUGUCUCUUUCGGGGGGCCAGCUUUUGCGGAGGCUGAAAUAUUUUUCACCCAUGUCUUUUGCGCACUUGUUGUUUCCUGGGCGGGUUUCGCCCGCCACCAGGACCACACCAUAAACCUUUUUUAUGCAGUUGCAAUCAGCGUCAGUAUAACAAAUGUAAAUCAUUUACAACUUUCAACAACGGAUCUCUUGGUUCUGGCAUCGAUGAAGAACGCAGCGAAAUGCGAUACGUAGUGUGAAUUGCAGAAUUCAGUGAAUCAUCGAAUCUUUGAACGCACAUUGCGCCCUUUGGUAUUCCAAAGGGCAUGCCUGUUCGAGCGUCAUUUGUACCUUCAAGCUUUGCUUGGUGUUGGGCGUCUUUUUUUUGUCUUGGGCCUUUUUGUGCCCUGAGACUCGCCUUAAAACGAUUGGCAGCCGGCCUACUGGUUUCGGAGCGCAGCACAUUUUUGCGCUUGCAAUCAGCAAAAGAGGCCAGCCAUCCAUCAAGACCAUUCUUCUCACUUUUGACCUCGGAUCAGGUAGGGAUACCCGCUGAACUUAAGCAUAUCAAUAAGGCGGGAGGAA